RNAcentral lists this ribosomal RNA (3585 nucleotides) under Triticum aestivum (bread wheat). RNAcentral describes it as "partial small subunit ribosomal RNA". Lineage: Eukaryota; Viridiplantae; Streptophyta; Magnoliopsida; Poales; Poaceae. The record is from RNAcentral.
AUGUCGCGCUGGAAGGAAAACAUUUAUCCUGCUCCGCCCCACUACGGCAGCUCUUCCAACCCCUCCCGACUGCUCCCUUGCAAGCGGCCGCUGCAGUCUCCAUGCCCGCCGCCCCGCCGGCCGCUCGCCGAUGUCACGGGCAACGCCCUGCAGCAGCCCGGAUCCGCAGGCGGCGUGGAGGACAUCGAUUACGGGUACAUCACUCCCCUCCCCAAGGUGCCCAAGUCUUGCGGGUUCCUUCUAGAGGACGACGACAUGGACGAGGCGUUCUUGCUUGAGGUGGACGCCAUCUGCGAGGAGCACUCGCGGUCCAUGGCCGGGAAGGAUAAGGGCAGGGAGAAAGAUUUGACGGUGGAGCGAGGGCCAGUCGUUGUGGCGGCAGCAACCCACGCCGGACCAGUGUGCGGAACGCUUGAGGACGCAUUCUGGACGGAGGCGUAUGCCAUUUUUGAGGAGUGUGAUGCUCAGCGUGCUGCCAAGAGCCAGGAUGAGGAGCUGAAGGAGAUGGUGGAAGUGGAAAGCUCGGUGCUGUCCUGUGGUGAUGAUUCACUUCUUCCAGCUAUAUCCAUCGCAGAUGACUGUGUUAAGUUGGAGGACACUUUCUGGGAAGUCAAUGCCAUCAGCAAGGAGCACCAUGUCGCAUCUUCCGAGAUGAACCAGGAGCACUACGUCGCAUCUUCGGCGAUCAACCAGGAUGAGAUAGACGAGAUGUACGUAGAAGAUGGCUCAGUAGCAUUAUGUGUUGAUUUCCCUCGAGUAAUUUCCAUUGCGGAGGCGGGAGGAGAGGUUGUUGAUGCACUCUUGGGGGAGGUCGAUGUCAUCCAUGAGGGGCAGGUUGCCAUGUCUGCUGCCAAGGGCAAGGAGGAGCCUGGGGAGAUGGGACUAGAAAUGGAGGAAAAUGAAGGGUGUGCCCCAAGGAAGUACUAUGAGUAUUUGCACUCCCUAAACGACAAGCAGAGGGAGGCUGCAUGCAGUGAUGUUGCUGUUCCGUUAAUGAUCGUUGCAGGUCCAGGAAGUGGAAAGACUUCUACAAUGGUCGGCAGGGUUCUCACAUUGCUCAAAGAGGGAAUUCCACCAUCAAACAUCCUUGCUAUGACAUUCACAACUGCUGCUGCCUCAGAAAUGAGGGACCGGAUAGGGGCAGUGGUCGGGAAGGCAGUUGCCAAAGAGAUCAUAAUAAGCACAUUUCACUCCUUCUGCUUGCAGCUUUGCAGGACCCAUGCUGAAAAGCUAGGCCGCACAUCUGAAUUCAUAAUAUAUGGCCAUGGGCAACAAAGGAGGGCCAUUAUUGAGGCAGAACGCCUGUUGGAGCAUGGCAAAAGUGAUGGUUUAGGAGAUGCAGUUAAGCAGCAGUAUGAUGGAGACAUUAAACAUUCUUUUAAAGACAAAGCUAAGAAGUGGUUGAAGUUUGUUACACAGGCGAAAUCUUCAGGACAAACUCCUGAAGAAUAUGAAAAGAAGGGCGAUUUGACAGGAGCUUCGAUUCUUCGGCACUAUAAUGAAAUACUAGUGUCUUGUAAUGCUCUUGAUUAUCAUGAUUUUAUCAACUCAUCCAUAACUCUUCUCACGAAGUUUCCAGAAGUAUACAAAGAGUGCCAGAACACAUGGCAGGCAAUAGUGGUUGAUGAGUUUCAGGAUACCAGUGCUAUGCAAUAUUUUCUUCUGAAGCUUCUAGCUUCUCACAAUCAUAUAACCAUAGUUGGUGAUGAUGAUCAGUCCAUCUUCAGUUUCAAUGGUGCGGAUGUUUCUGGCUUUGAUUCAUUCCGUAGAGACUUUCCAAAUCAUAAAGAGAUCAGGUUGAACAAGAACUACCGCUCUACACGGGCAAUUGUCGAAGCAGCAACAGCUCUUAUUCACAACAACACUAAACGGUGUAAUCAUAAACUUGCUGAGACAGACAACCCUUCUGGAAGUAAGAUCACUGUUAAGGAGUGCCAUAGCGAAGAUUCACAAUGUGCAUUUGUCAUUGACAAAAUCAUUGAAACUACAUCUAGUUCAGCUGAAGGCCGCGACUUCGGUAAAAUUGCUGUCCUAUAUCGAAGACAGAUAACUGGCAAAGCAUUCCAAGUGUCAUUUCGCAACAGGAAAAUACCCUUUAAUGUUCAUGGUGUGGCUUUCUACAGGAAAAAGGCCAUCAAAGCUAUUAUGGCAAUACUUAGGACCACGUUACCUGGUUGUGAUGAUGGCCCAUGGCGUCAGGCCUUAAAGACCCUUUUGCCUGGUGACAAGGAAGAAAAAAAGAAGAUUAUAGAUCAUGUGGAAAAGAUUUCAUUGGCUAGAAAGUGUAGCUUCAUAUCAGCUGCUACUGACAUCUUCAGUGCAAAGGUCUCCGGGACCUUCAAAAGGACCCAGAUUACUCAAGGGCGUAAGGUUUUAUCGACCUUGUAUAGCCUAUCAAAAUUUGUUGAGAGGGAACAAUCAGUUUCAGCUGUCAUUUCUUCUGCAGGAAAUAUGCUACCUCAGCAAUAUCUCCUUGAAAAGCGUGCAGUUAUUGAUAACGAUGGUGGUAAAUUGUUAAAUGAAGACAAUGACAUCAGAUCUGUACUUCAAUUUUUAAUGGAUGAUGUGUCUGACUUCUUGUCAACACACUUUUCUAGUUCAGGGGAUGCAAACCAGACUGAGGAGAAAGGCUGCACUGCUACACUUAAAGCCUUCAUUGAUUACAUUUCUUUGAGGGAAACAGAAAAUUUUCGAUCCCGAAAGGAGGAAAAUAAGAACUCCAUCACAUUAACAACUAUUCAUCAGUCAAAAGGUUUAGAGUGGGAUGUUGUGUUCAUCGUGCAGGCAAAUGAUUCAGAGAUCCCCUUACUGCACGAGUACAAUGGCACUGUGAAAGAAGCUGGAUGCACAUUGGAGGAGGAGAGGAGGCUAUUCUAUGUUGCAAUGACACGAGCUCGGAAGAAAUUGUACAUCUUGCAUGUCACAGUUGACUCUCAUCGCCAGCUCCUACUACCUUCACGUUUCCUUCGAGAGAUUCCAGGUCACCUUUUCGACAUACAGGGUGAGGGGCCUGCAACAAAAUAUCACGAGCAGCCUUCUGGAGACAUUUCAUUUGAUCACGCUGAAGGAGAGACAUCAACUGAAAAGCCUAUUGUAAAUCAGAACGAAACUUCACCUUACCCUGAACUGAUGCAGUCAUGCCUUGCUAAUGAUUUCUUGAAGAGGUUCGAAAUUGAUGAUAGAGCAGUAGUCUCACAUAUAUUUCAUCAUUGGGCGAAGAGGCAGGCAUUUCAAAUUCCAAAGAGACUGCUUGAUAAGAUCAAAUUUGUGAUUGAUGAACGCCUGCGUGGUAAAGGAUAUAAGCGCAAGGAUGUCUUGUGCAAGCUGAAGUCAUUGUUAAGCGACGAUGAAGCGCUUGGUUACGCAGAAUAUGUUAUCAAGUGGGAACAAAUUCCAAUUGACAAGCGAAGCCAUUUGAUGAGGGAGAGACAGGAACAUUUCCAGAAGCAGAGGAUAGAGAACUCCAUGGGUUCCUCGGAGCCUACACCUAAGCAGAUAUCCUACCUCCGGAGCCUGGGGUGCACCAUAACACCCACGUCUCGUCUCCAUGCGUCCAAUCUUAUUGAGAAGUAUAAAUCGCUGUGA